GUUAGGAAUAUUGGACAAUGGGCGAAAGCCUGAUCCAGCCAUGCCGCGUGAACGAUGAAGGCCUUCGGGUUGUAAAGUUCUUUAGCCGAUGAUUAUAAUGACUGUAGUCGGAAAAUAAGCCCCGGCUAACUACGUGCCAGCAGCCGCGGUAAUACGAAGGGGGCGAGCGUUAUUCGGAAUCACUGGGCGUAAAGCGUGCGUAGGCGGUUUUGUAAGUUAGGAGUGAAAGCCCAGGGCUCAACCUUGGAAUUGCUCUUAAAACUGCAAGGCUCGAAUCUCGGAGAGGAUAGCGGAAUUUCCAGUGUAGCAGUGAAAUGCGUAGAUAUUGGAAGGAACACCAGUGGCGUAAGCGGCUAUCUGGACGAGUAUUGACGCUGAGGCACGAAAGCGUGGGGAUCAAACAGGAUUAGAAACCCCUGAAGUCC
Molecule: ribosomal RNA, 425 nt
Filed under: uncultured bacterium
Lineage: Bacteria
Description: partial 16S ribosomal RNA
Rfam family: Bacterial small subunit ribosomal RNA
Source: RNAcentral